Molecule: long non-coding RNA, 1260 nt
Organism: Motacilla alba alba
Lineage: Eukaryota; Metazoa; Chordata; Aves; Passeriformes; Motacillidae
Exons: 4
Source: RefSeq, a predicted model, not a curated record
CAUGCACAGCAAUCAGGCUGUGUGCAGCACUGCUUGGGUAACUGAAGCUGAUGUUGGUGAGAUUAAUGCUGCUUGAAUGGAAAUGCCUUUGGAAUUCUCCUCUUCCCUCAGGCCCUGAGAAGACUUUUCAGAAAAGUCUUCCCAGUACCUUGAGAAGACUUUUCAUUCCAGCUCAUCCCACUGGACAUUUUCUGGAUGUGCAUUUCUUCAGUUUUGUCUUCCAAUUGCUGUAUCAUUUGGUACUCUUUGGACAUGCAGGAUGCUGAGACAUAAAAAAUAAUGUCAUAAAUUUACAAGUCUGGCUUUUCCCAUCCAGCUCAUGGAUUUUUCUUUUUACUACAGUCAUCCAGCAGAGGAAGAAUUUAAAGAUCUCUGUCACUGGGGAAGCCAGCAUAAGCCUGAAAGAAACUCCUGUGUGUGGCAGUAAGUUCAGGGUUUGAGUCCUUACAGCCAGUGACUAGAUCUCAAGAAGGUAAGCAGUAAAUAAUUUAUCCUGAUGUAAUUUUUUUGAAUUUGUUCUUAUUUUUAAUUUUAAAAAAAAAUUAAAUUUUUUUGCCUUGCAGGGAGCGUUUACACUGUUAUCUCUUGGUUUUCAUUUGUCUGUGCACAUGAGAGAUUCCCAGCAGAGUUCUUUAAUGAUUUCCUAAACUUAAACCACAACUUCUCACUGAGUCAGAUUUUCUCAUAAUAAUGGUUGCAUUUUAAGCUGUUGCAUGACUUAACUAUUAGACUUUUUUUUUUUAAAGCUCACUGUGUCCUUCUGAAAAAGAGAAUGAUGGAGUAUGAAGCCUCCUGUAAUAAAAGGAAAAAGUGCCUAGUGCACACUCAAAGUGCAUUUAUAUUAGGUAAAAGAAAAAUCUAUAUUUUGAAGUAAAGAAGCUCUGCUGCCUCUUAACACUAGUCUGAAACAGGAGGAUGUUGUGAUCACAGCAGGCUGGAAAUCAUUUAUGCAUCUGCCACAAAAUACUUGGAAGAAGGAAAGAACCUGGAUUGGAGCUGCCUUAUCAGGCACCAACAGAAUCACAAAUCAUAAAUCGAGACUCAGGGGUAAAAAAGAGCCAAUAAGGACAACGAGACUGGGUUUGGAAAGGAGAUGGAAAGCUUGCACCUCCCGCAAAACUCAGAACCCAUGGCAAAAGUCAUGUCCUCACUGAAAACUUCUGGAAAUAUGGGCAGUCAAGCAGUCAGACAGUGUCUGCUAUCAGUGCAGAGCCAAAAUAGAGAGUAUUUUCCUAACUGCUGUGAGCUACUUCAAAAUGG